ACCCUGACGCAGCGACGCCGCGUGAGUGAAGAAGGCCUUCGGGUCGUAAAGCUCUGUCAAGUGGGAAUAAAGUCCUGCGGUGAAUACCCGAGGGAUUUGAAGGUACCACUAAGGGAAGCACCGGCUAACUCCGUGCCACCAGCCGCGGUAAUACGGAGGGUGCAAGCGUUAUUCGGAUUUAUUGGGCGUAAAGAGCGUGUAGGCGGUUGGGAUAGUCAGACGUGAAAGCCUUCUGCUCAACAGAAGAAGUACGUCUGAAACUGCCCAACUUGAGUACGAGAGAGGAAAGUGGAAUUCCCAGUGUAGAGGUGAAAUUCGUAGAUAUUGGGAGGAACACCUGUGGCGAAGGCGACUUUCUGGAUCGAUACUGACGCUGAGACGCGAAAGCGUGGGUAGCAAACAGGAUUAGAUACCCUGGUAGUCCACGCUGUAAACGAUGGGAACUAGGUGUAGCGGGUAUUGAUCCCUGCUGUGCCGAAGCUAACGCAUUAAGUUCCCCGCCUGGGGAGUACGGUCGCAAGGCUAAAACUCUCAGGAAUUUACGGGG
This 547-nucleotide ribosomal RNA is filed under the name uncultured Desulfatiglans sp. RNAcentral describes it as "bacterial SSU rRNA". It matches the Rfam family "Bacterial small subunit ribosomal RNA", at positions 380 to 918 of the family's 1533-position model. The record is from RNAcentral. Lineage: Bacteria; Pseudomonadati; Thermodesulfobacteriota; Desulfobacteria; Desulfatiglandales; Desulfatiglandaceae.